UACGUAGGGUGCGAGCGUUACUCGGAAUUACUGGGCGUAAAGCGUGCGCAGGCGGUUUUGUAAGCCAGAUGUGAAAUCUCCGGGCUUAACCCGGAAAGGUCAACUGAUACUGUGCGACUAGAGUGCGGAAGGGGCAACUGGAAUUCUCGGUGUAGCGGUGAAAUGCGUAGAUAUCGAGAGGAACACCUGCGGCGAAGGCGGGUUGCUGGGCCGACACUGACGCUGAUGCGCGAAAGCCAGGGGAGCGAACGGG
This 253-nucleotide ribosomal RNA is filed under the name uncultured bacterium. RNAcentral's name for it is "partial 16S ribosomal RNA". It matches the Rfam family "Bacterial small subunit ribosomal RNA", at positions 524 to 776 of the family's 1533-position model. The record is from RNAcentral.